AGUCGUAACAAGGUCUCCGUAGGUGAACCUGCGGAGGGAUCAUUUACCAAAAAUCCUUUCCUCCCGAAAGGGGGGAUUCCAUUUCGGAACAACUCGCCUUAAAUCGGAGCGGUGGCGGUCUUCGAGCUUUUGUCGGUUUUUUGGAAUCGGCGGAAGCGGCAACACAAUGCCACGUUUUUUCACACUUUUCGAUUUAAUCGGAAUCGGGCGGUGGGUAACUCCCCGUCUUUGAAAAAACAAAACAACCGUUACUGAUGGAUGACUCGGCUCC
This 271-nucleotide unclassified non-coding RNA is filed under the name fungal sp. RNAcentral's name for it is "partial internal transcribed spacer region". The stretch from base 1 to 45 matches the Rfam family "Eukaryotic small subunit ribosomal RNA", at positions 1787 to 1831 of the family's 1831-position model. Lineage: Eukaryota; Fungi. The record is from RNAcentral.